This is a long non-coding RNA of Brassica oleracea var. oleracea, 319 nucleotides long. RefSeq lists it as uncharacterized. The transcript has 3 exons. NCBI's taxonomy places the organism in Eukaryota, Viridiplantae, Streptophyta, Magnoliopsida, Brassicales, Brassicaceae. The record is from RefSeq and is a predicted model, not a curated record.
UUCAUCCUUAAAGGUCAUGUCUGAUGGAUAUAAUCAAUGUCAUAUUUAUAUUGUAGGAAACGAGUAACAAGUACAGAGCGAUGAGAAGAAAUCAGAUUCCUCACACCACCAGCCGCAAAGGAAUGCUUCGUUUAGCUGAUGAUAUGAAAAAAAAAGAGUAAAGACCCAAGUAAGGUGAGUAGAUCCAAGGUUUGGAUUGCGGGACACACUCAUGCUGAUGGCAGACCUGUGAAGCCCCAGUUUGCUGAGACUAUUGAACAAAUACAGUCACUUGACAGUCGGAUGGACUCCACAUCAGCUGCUGAUAACAUAAGGGAAG